GGGGGUGGUGGAAAGCCUUCGGGUGGUUUUGGAUGGACUCACGGCCUAUCAGCUUGUUGGUGAGGUAAUGGCUCACCAAGGCGACGACGGGUAGCCGGCCUGAGAGGGUGACCGGCCACACUGGGACUGAGACACGGCCCAGACUCCUACGGGAGGCAGCAGUGGGGAAUAUUGCACAAUGGGCGAAAGCCUGAUGCAGCGACGCCGCGUGAGGGAUGACGGCCUUCGGGUUGUAAACCUCUUUCAGCAGGGAACAAGGCCAGGCUUUUGUCUGGUUGAGGGUACUUGCAGAAGAAGCGCCGGCUAACUACGUGCCAGCAGCCGCGGUAAUACGUAGGGCGCAAGCGUUGUCCGGAAUUAUUGGGCGUAAAGAGCUCGUAGGCGGUUUGUCGCGUCUGCUGUGAAAGCCCGGGGCUUAACCCCGGGUCUGCAGUGGGUACGGGCAGACUAGAGUGCAGUAGGGGAGACUGGAAUUCCUGGUGUAGCGGUGAAAUGCGCAGAUAUCAGGAGGAACACCGAUGGCGAAGGCAGGUCUCUGGGCUGUUACUGACGCUGAGGAGCGAAAGCAUGGGGAGCGAACAGGAUUAGAUACCCUGGUAGUCCAUGCCGUAAACGUUGGGCACUAGGUGUGGGGGACAUUCCACGUUUUCCGCGCCGUAGCUAACGCAUUAA
Molecule: ribosomal RNA, 672 nt
Filed under: Micrococcaceae bacterium MOLA 1489
Lineage: Bacteria; Bacillati; Actinomycetota; Actinomycetes; Micrococcales; Micrococcaceae
Description: bacterial SSU rRNA
Rfam family: Bacterial small subunit ribosomal RNA
Source: RNAcentral